UGUUUAGAUUUAGAUUUAGAUUCUGUCCAUUUGAAUCAUUUAUUUUUGGAAGGUGGUUUUAUGUGUCCUGAUUCAUGACGCUGAGUUCCUUCCUAUGCAAAGGUUUGUGCAGCCCUCGACUCUUGUGCACCUUUUAUUGUGCGACAGGAAUGUGACUUUCUGCAUCUCUGUCUUAAUUCCACAUGAAGUUCUCUGUUCAGCCGAGUUUCUAAAUAAAACCGUGUAAAAGCUCA
Molecule: long non-coding RNA, 233 nt
Organism: Sphaeramia orbicularis (orbiculate cardinalfish)
Lineage: Eukaryota; Metazoa; Chordata; Actinopteri; Kurtiformes; Apogonidae
Exons: 2
Source: RefSeq, a predicted model, not a curated record